GAGCCCCUUCCCAUUCUCUCAGGUGGUGGAGGCCUUCACCUAUCUCGAGACCGGGAGGGCCACGGGGAAGGUCGUCAUCCACCCCAUCUCCUGAGGGGAAACCCUUGCUCAGCUUUCCGUCCCUCUGUGACGACCCAAGUAAUCUUGCACUGUAAAAAUCAAAAGAGGGAGACUUGUUGAUGGCAAAGAAUCGGAGGCAGAGCGGAAGCAAAGUAUCUCUCUCUAGUCCCCGUCCUCCCUCCUCCCCCUCUCCCCCAUCGUCUCGGCGCAGCAAAUGGCGGGCUCUUCGCCCCUCAUCGCCCUCGUGGUGAAGCUGGCCGCCGCCUCCGUCACCGGAGCGGUGGCCCUCCUCGCCUUCCGACGGCACCUCCGCGACGAGGCCCUCUCAGCCCUCCGCCGCGACAUCCGCAGAUCCCUCCUGCGCAUGCGCGCCGACGUGCCGGAGGGCGACUGCGCCGGCACAGGCUGCCGUGCCGCCCCCGCGGCCGUCGUGCUGGGGUUCCCCUCCCACGGCAAGAGCUCCUUCGUGAACACCGCCUGGCGGGCCCUCUCUGGCGAAGAAGGGCCCUUCCUGGCCCGCGCCGAGACGGCCCCCCCGGGGCCGUCGUCCCCUGUAAUUUCUUCCCCGCGCGUCUUUCGCGUGGCGGUGACGGACCCAGACGCCGGCUGGCUCAGUACAGUCAGGGAAGGGGAGAGGGAAGAGGACGACGAUGGGCUGGCGGCUCUGGACCUGGUGGACUCGCCGGGCUUGCCCGGGGCCGAGAAGCUUACGCGCGCCGACGUGGAGGCGGCG
RNAcentral lists this long non-coding RNA (793 nucleotides) under Spirodela polyrhiza (greater duckweed). RNAcentral's name for it is "long non-coding RNA (SPOL_LNC002595)". The record is from RNAcentral. Lineage: Eukaryota; Viridiplantae; Streptophyta; Magnoliopsida; Alismatales; Araceae.